GUAGACUGUCUAAUUCCGCUGCGCGGCCUACCAUGCAGUCGAGCGGUAGAGAGAGCUUGCUUCUCUUGAGAGCGGCGGACGGGUGAGUAAUGCCUAGGAAUCUGCCUGGUAGUGGGGGAUAACGUUCGGAAACGGACGCUAAUACCGCAUACGUCCUACGGGAGAAAGCAGGGGACCUUCGGGCCUUGCGCUAUCAAAUGAGCCUAGGUCGGAUUAGCUAGUUGGUGGGGUAAUGGCUCACCAAGGCGACAAUCCGUAACUGGUCUGAGAGGAUGAUCAGUCACACUGGAACUGAAACACGGUCCAAACUCCUACGGGAGGCAGCAGUGGGGAAUAUUGGACAAUGGGCGAAAGCCUGAUCCAGCCAUGCCGCGUGUGUGAAGAAGGUCUUCGGAUUGUAAAGCACUUUAAGUUGGGAGGAAGGGCAGUAAAUUAAUACUUUGCUGUUUUGACGUUACCGACAGAAUAAGCACCGGCUAACUCUGUGCCAGCAGCCGCGGUAAUACAGAGGGUGCAAGCGUUAAUCGGAAUUACUGGGCGUAAAGCGCGCGUAGGUGGUUCGUUAAGUUGGAUGUGAAAUCCCCGGGCUCAACCUGGGAACUGCAUUCAAAACUGACGAGCUAGAGUAUGGUAGAGGGUGGUGGAAUUUCCUGUGUAGCGGUGAAAUGCGUAGAUAUAGGAAGGAACACCAGUGGCGAAGGCGACCACCUGGACUGAUACUGACACUGAGGUGCGAAAGCGUGGGGGAGCAAACAGGAUUAGAUACCCUGGUAGUCCACGCCGUAAACGAUGUCAACUAGCCGUUGGGAGCCUUGAGCUCUAGUGCGCAGCUAACGCAUAGUGACGCUGGGGAGUACGGCCGCAGGUAAACUCAAUGAUGACGGGGCCGCACAGCGUGAGCAUGUGAUAUUCGAGCACGCGAGACUACAGGCUGGCUCAAUGACUUCGCAGGAUGAUGGCAUCGAACUUGAACGGUGCUGCAUGUC
Molecule: ribosomal RNA, 986 nt
Filed under: Pseudomonas fluorescens
Lineage: Bacteria; Pseudomonadati; Pseudomonadota; Gammaproteobacteria; Pseudomonadales; Pseudomonadaceae
Also listed under: 1 other name
Description: bacterial SSU rRNA
Rfam family: Bacterial small subunit ribosomal RNA
Source: RNAcentral